Molecule: ribosomal RNA, 472 nt
Filed under: uncultured soil bacterium
Lineage: Bacteria
Description: bacterial SSU rRNA
Rfam family: Bacterial small subunit ribosomal RNA
Source: RNAcentral
AGGAUGAACGCUGGCGGCGUGCUUAACACAUGCAAGUCGAACGAUGAAGCAGAGCUUGCUCUGUGGAUUAGUGGCGAACGGGUGAGUAACACGUGAGUAACCUGCCCUUGACUCUGGAAUAAGCGUUGGAAACGACGUCUAAUACCGGAUACGAGCUUCCGCCGCAUGGUGAGGAGCUGGAAAGAAUUUCGGUCAAGGAUGGACUCGCGGCCUAUCGGGUAGUUGGUGAGGUAAUGGCUCACCAAGCCUACGACGGGUAGCCGGCCUGGAGAGGGUGACCGGCCACACUGGAACUGAGACACGGUCCAGACUCCUACGGGAGGCAGCAGUGGGGAAUAUGCACAAUGGGCGCAAGCCUGAUGCAGCAACGCCGCGUGAGGGACGACGGCCUUCGGUUGUAAACCGUCGUUUUAGUAGGAAGUAAGGGCUUACGGUCUGACGGUACCUGACAGAAAAGCGACGCUAACUACGU